GAGAAGUGACGGACAGAGACAAGUACAGGACGAUUGGACAAAACCCUGGUUAUCUAAUAUUUUUGGCACAUAAUUGAGAGACAAAAAAUUGAUCAAAGUUAAAGAGCACCGAAGUUUUUGAGGCCUAUAUGACUUGACAUCUAUUGAACAGGGAAAAUUCAUUCUGAAUUCUCAGAGCAGGCAAGUAAACCAGCGAAAGCUGAUAACAUGAAAAUAUGAUAACUAGUGACAGCAUUGAGUAAAGGUUCACCUUUGCCGAACCCCACCACCUAA
RNAcentral lists this unclassified non-coding RNA (273 nucleotides) under Hevea brasiliensis (rubber tree). The record is from RNAcentral. Lineage: Eukaryota; Viridiplantae; Streptophyta; Magnoliopsida; Malpighiales; Euphorbiaceae.